GACGAACGCUGGCGGCGUGCUUAACACAUGCAAGCCGAACGGAAAGGCCCUGCUUUUGUGGGGUGCUCGAGUGGCGAACGGGUGAGUAACACGUGAGUAACCUGCCCUUGACUUUGGGAUAACUUCAGGAAACUGGGGCUAAUACCGGAUAGGAGCUCCUGCUGCAUGGUGGGGGUUGGAAAGUUUCGGCGGUUGGGGAUGGACUCGCGGCUUAUCAGCUUGUUGGUGGGGUAGUGGCUUACCAAGGCUUUGACGGGUAGCCGGCCUGAGAGGGUGACCGGCCACAUUGGGACUGAGAUACGGCCCAGACUCCUACGGGAGGCAGCAGUGGGGAAUAUUGCACAAUGGGCGGAAGCAGGAUGCAGCAACGCCGCGUGCGGGAGGACGGCCUUCGGGUUGUAAACCGCUUUCGCCUGUGACGAAGCGUGAGUGACGGGAAUGGGUAAAGAAGCACCGGAGAACUACGU
This 467-nucleotide ribosomal RNA is filed under the name uncultured bacterium. Its description in RNAcentral is "partial 16S ribosomal RNA". It matches the Rfam family "Bacterial small subunit ribosomal RNA", at positions 28 to 506 of the family's 1533-position model. The record is from RNAcentral.